This 27-nucleotide non-coding RNA is filed under the name Homo sapiens (human). The record is from RNAcentral. Lineage: Eukaryota; Metazoa; Chordata; Mammalia; Primates; Hominidae.
UGCAAGUACAUCUACGCCAAGGACCGC